This 406-nucleotide ribosomal RNA is filed under the name uncultured bacterium. RNAcentral's name for it is "bacterial SSU rRNA". It matches the Rfam family "Bacterial small subunit ribosomal RNA", at positions 355 to 776 of the family's 1533-position model. The record is from RNAcentral. RNAcentral also lists the same sequence under 1 other name.
CAGGGAAUCUUGCGCAAUGGGCGAAAGCCUGACGCAGCGACGCCGCGUGAGGGAAGAAGGCCUGCGGGUUGUAAACCUCUUUUCGGGGGGAAGAAGUUCUGACGGUACCCUCGGAAUAAGCCUCGGCUAACUACGUGCCAGCAGCCGCGGUAAUACGUAGGAGGCGAGCGUUGUCCGGAUUCACUGGGCGUAAAGGGAGCGCAGGCGGCCGGGUCCGUCGGCGGUGCAAGCUCCAGGCUCAACCUGGAGAGGUCCGCCGAUACCACUCGGCUUGAGGGCGGUAGAGGAGCACGGAAUUCCUGGUGUAGUGGUGAAAUGCGUAGAUAUCAGGAGGAACACCUGAGGCGAAAGCGGUGCUCUGGGCCGGCCCUGACGUUCAGGCUCGAAAGCGUGGGGAGCAAACCGG